Molecule: ribosomal RNA, 326 nt
Filed under: Escherichia coli
Lineage: Bacteria; Pseudomonadati; Pseudomonadota; Gammaproteobacteria; Enterobacterales; Enterobacteriaceae
Description: bacterial SSU rRNA
Rfam family: Bacterial small subunit ribosomal RNA
Source: RNAcentral
AAAUUGAAGAGUUUGAUCAUGGCUCAGAUUGAACGCUGGCGGCAGGCCUAACACAUGCAAGUCGAACGGUAACAGGAAACAGCUUGCUGUUUCGCUGACGAGUGGCGGACGGGUGAGUAAUGUCUGGGAAACUGCCUGAUGGAGGGGGAUAACUACUGGAAACGGUAGCUAAUACCGCAUAACGUCGCAAGACCAAAGAGGGGGACCUUCGGGCCUCUUGCCAUCGGAUGUGCCCAGAUGGGAUUAGCUAGUAGGUGGGGUAACGGCUCACCUAGGCGACGAUCCCUAGCUGGUCUGAGAGGAUGACCAGCCACACUGGAACUGAG